CGGCGGACGGGUGAGUAACGCGUGGGUAACCUGCCUCAUACAGGGGGAUAACAGUUAGAAAUGACUGCUAAUACCGCAUAAGACCACAGGAUCGCAUGAUCCGGUGGUAAAAACUCCGGUGGUAUGAGAUGGACCCGCGUCUGAUUAGCUAGUUGGUGGGGUAACGGCUCACCAAGGCGACGAUCAGUAGCCGACCUGAGAGGGUGGCCGGCCACAUUGGGACUGAGACACGGCCCAA
This 238-nucleotide ribosomal RNA is filed under the name uncultured bacterium. RNAcentral's name for it is "partial 16S ribosomal RNA". It matches the Rfam family "Bacterial small subunit ribosomal RNA", at positions 96 to 334 of the family's 1533-position model. The record is from RNAcentral.